RNAcentral lists this ribosomal RNA (429 nucleotides) under uncultured bacterium. Its description in RNAcentral is "bacterial SSU rRNA". It matches the Rfam family "Bacterial small subunit ribosomal RNA", at positions 355 to 776 of the family's 1533-position model. The record is from RNAcentral.
UAGGGAAUCUUCCGCAAUGGACGAAAGUCUGACGGAGCAACGCCGCGUGAGUGAUGAAGGUUUUCGGAUCGUAAAGCUCUGUUGCCAAGGAAGAAAGAGCGAGGGAGUAACUGCCCUAGCGAAUGACGGUACUUGAGAAGAAAGCCCCGGCUAACUACGUGCCAGCAGCCGCGGUAAUACGUAGGGGGCAAGCGUUGUCCGGAAUUAUUGGGCGUAAAGCGCGCGCAGGCGGUUUGAUAAGUCUGGUGUAUAACCCCAAGGCUCAACCUUGGAUGGCACUUGAAACUGUCAGACUAGAGUGCAGGAGAGGAAAGCGGAAUUCCACGUGUAGCGGUGAAAUGCGUAGAUAUGUGGAGGAACACCAGUGGCGAAGGCGGCUUUCUGGACUGUAACUGACGCUGAGGCGCGAAAGCGUGGGGAGCAAACAGG